GACGAACGCUGGCGGCGUGCCUAAUACAUGCAAGUCGAGCGGACCAAAGGGAGCUUGCUCCUGGAGGUUAGCGGCGAACGGGUGAGUAACACGUGGGCAACCUGCCUGUAAGACUGGGAUAACAUCGAGAAAUCGGUGCUAAUACCGGAUAAUAAAAAGAACUGCAUGGUUCUUUUUGAAAGAUGGUUUCGGCUAUCACUUACAGAUGGCCGCGGCGCAUUAGCUAGUUGGUGAGGUAACGGCUCACCAAGGCGACGAUGCGUAGCCGACCUGAGAGGGUGAUCGGCCACACUGGGACUGAGACGCGGCCCAGACUCCUACGGGAGGCAGCAGUAGGGAAUCUUCCGCAAUGGACGAAAGUCUGACGGAGCAACGCCGCGUGAGUGAUGAAGGUUUUCGGAUCGUAAAACUCUGUUGUUAGGGAAGAACAAGUGCCGUUCGAAAGGGCGGCACCUUGACGGUACCUAACGAGAAAGCCACGGCUAACUACGUGCCAGCAGCCGCGGUAAAGUA
Molecule: ribosomal RNA, 513 nt
Filed under: uncultured bacterium
Lineage: Bacteria
Description: bacterial SSU rRNA
Rfam family: Bacterial small subunit ribosomal RNA
Source: RNAcentral